AUAAUUCCUCCAUCACCGGUUGACUACCCAAUUAUGGGGCUUAACCUUCUGAGGAUGUUGGUCCAGAAUAGAAUUGCGGAGUUCCACACUGAGCUGGAGCCUCUGCCCACCAAAGCGCUGGAGAAUCCUUGCAUCAAGCACGCAGUUGAGCUCGAGCAGUCCCUUAUGGAGGGCGCCUACAACCACGUGCUGAGUGCUCGACAAGCUGUGCCGCAUGAAAGUUACGUAUACUUCAUGGACCUUCUAGCCAAAAGAGUAGUUAGAGACAAAAUAGCUGGGUGCAGCGAGAAGGGAUAUGAUUACUUGUCGAUAAGUAACGCGAAACAAAUGCUUAUGUUCAGCUCUGACGAAGAACCACAACAGUACAUCUCAGAGGAACACCCCGAGAGGGAUGUUAGGAAUGGCCGGGUCUUCUUCCAGAAGGCGAUGGAGUCUCAGCCCUGUAAGGAGACACCGGCGAUGCCCGCCAUGAACAAGACCCUUGGCUAUGCGAAGGAAUUCGAAAGGACAGUGUGA
RNAcentral lists this ribosomal RNA (516 nucleotides) under Triticum aestivum (bread wheat). RNAcentral's name for it is "partial small subunit ribosomal RNA". Lineage: Eukaryota; Viridiplantae; Streptophyta; Magnoliopsida; Poales; Poaceae. The record is from RNAcentral.